This is a non-coding RNA of Meloidogyne enterolobii, 2030 nucleotides long. NCBI's taxonomy places the organism in Eukaryota, Metazoa, Nematoda, Chromadorea, Rhabditida, Meloidogynidae. The record is from the annotation of a GenBank genome assembly.
UCAUAUUAUAUUGGAAAAGUGGUUGUCUGUUGAGUAAAAUUAAGUGGCUGUGUGUUUGCGAAUUGCAAAAUAAAGUGGUUGUUUGCACAGGAAAUGGAAAGGAAAAAUGUAUAGGAAAUAAAUAAUUCUCGACUUAGCAGAUAUUAAGUCCUUCCGUGUUUCUUGAUGCCCUUUUACUUAAAUUCUUAGCAUCAAAUCAACUUGAUUAUGGUACUUUCUGAAGACUCAAAUGUGCUACUUUGAUUUUUAACCGUUUUAAAUCGAUUUCUGUUCAUUUAAAUUGGCUAGGGAUCUAUUAAUUUUUGAGUGUGGUCUAUUAAUUUUUGAGUGUGGCCUUACAAUGGCCAUGAUUUACUUGAUCUUGAUUAUCUAAAUGGAUAACUGUGGAAAAGCUAGAGCUAAUACAUGCACCAAAGCUUUGUCCUCUCGGAAAAGCGCAUUUAUUAGAACAAAACCACGCGGCUUCGGCUGCUUCUUGUUGACUCAGAAUAACUAAGCUGACCGCAUGGCCUUGUGCCGGCGGCGUGUCUUUCAAGCGUCCAAUUUAUCAACUUGACGGGAGCAUAAUCGACUCCCGUGGUGGUGACGGAUAACGGAGGAUCAGGGUUCGACUCCGGAGAAGGGGCCUGAGAAAUGGCCACUACGUCUAAGGAUGGCAGCAGGCGCGCAAAUUACCCACUCUCGGCUCGAGGAGGUAGUGACGAGAAAUAACGAGAUCGUUCUCUUUGAGGCCGGUCAUCGGAAUGGGUACAAUUUAAACCCUUUAACGAGUAUCAAGCAGAGGGCAAGUCUGGUGCCAGCAGCCGCGGUAAUUCCAGCUCUGCUAAUACAUAGAAUUAUUGCUGCGGUUAAAAAGCUCGUAGUUGGAUUCGUAUCGGUACCCUGGAACCCUCCGGGUGUUUCUGGGUGUUAUCGAUUUAUCGUAAUGUUCGGUUUUGAGUCCUUAACAGGAUUCUUAACAGGCAUUGCAAGUUUACUUUGAACAAAUCAGAGUGCUUCAAACAGGCGUUUUCGCUUGAAUGAUCGUGCAUGGAAUAAUAGAAAACGAUUUCGGUUCAGUUUUAUUGGUUUUACGGACUGAGAUAAUGGUUAACAGAGACAAACGGGGGCAUUUGUAUGGCCCCGUGAGAGGUGAAAUUCUUGGACCGUGGCCAGACAAACUACAGCGAAAGCAUUUGCCAAGAAUGUCUUCAUUAAUCAAGAACGAAAGUCAGAGGUUCGAAGGCGAUCAGAUACCGCCCUAGUUCUGACCGUAAACGAUGCCAACUAGCGAUCCGCCGAUGGAAAUUAUAUUGCCUUGGUGGGGAGCUUCCCGGAAACGAAAGUCUUCCGGUUCCGGGGGAAGUAUGGUUGCAAAGCUGAAACUUAAAGGAAUUGACGGAAGGGCACCACCAGGAGUGGAGCCUGCGGCUUAAUUUGACUCAACACGGGGAAACUCACCCGGCCCGGACACUGUGAGGAUUGACAGAUUGAUAGCUUUUUCAUGAUUCAGUGGAUGGUGGUGCAUGGCCGUUCUUAGUUCGUGGAGUGAUUUGUCUGGUUUAUUCCGAUAACGAGCGAGACUCUAACCUACUAAAUAGCUGGUACAUAAUCUUAGUGUAUACAGCUUCUUAGAGGGAUUUGCGGUGUUCAGCCGAAAGAAAUUGAGCAAUAACAGGUCUGUGAUGCCCUUAGAUGUCCGGGGCUGCACGCGCGCUACACUGGCAAAAUCAACGUGCUUGUCCUACCCCGAAAGGGGCGGGUAAACCAUUGAAAAUUUGCCGUGAUUGGGAUCGGAAAUUGCAAUUAUUUUCCGUGAACGAGGAAUUCCAAGUAAGUGCGAGUCAUCAGCUCGCGUUGAUUACGUCCCUGCCCUUUGUACACACCGCCCGUCGCUGCCCGGGACUGAGCCAUUUCGAGAAAUUUGGGGACCGUUGAUUUAAUUUUUCUAAAUUACUUUGAUGGAAACCAAUUUAAUCGCAGUGGCUUGAACCGGGCAAAAGUCGUAACAAGGUAGCUGUAGGUGAACCUGCUGCUGGAUCAUUACUUUA